RNAcentral lists this ribosomal RNA (253 nucleotides) under uncultured bacterium. RNAcentral's name for it is "partial 16S ribosomal RNA". It matches the Rfam family "Bacterial small subunit ribosomal RNA", at positions 524 to 776 of the family's 1533-position model. The record is from RNAcentral.
UACGAAGGGGGCGAGCGUUGUUCGGAUUUACUGGGCGUAAAGGGCGCGCAGGCGGCUUAUUUUGUCAGGCGUGAAAGCCCCGGGCUUAACCUGGGAACUGCGUUUGAUACGGAUGGGCUAGAGUUCGGGAGAGGAGCGUGGAAUUCCCAGUGUAGAGGUGAAAUUCGUAGAUAUUGGGAAGAACACCGGUGGCGAAGGCGGCGCUCUGGACCGAGACUGACGCUGAGGCGCGAAAGCGUGGGGAGCGAACAGG